RNAcentral lists this ribosomal RNA (253 nucleotides) under uncultured bacterium. Its description in RNAcentral is "partial 16S ribosomal RNA". It matches the Rfam family "Bacterial small subunit ribosomal RNA", at positions 524 to 776 of the family's 1533-position model. The record is from RNAcentral.
UACGUAGGGUGCGAGCGUUGUCCGGAAUUACUGGGCGUAAAGAGCUCGUAGGUGGUUUGUCGCGUUGUUCGUGAAAACUCACAGCUCAACUGUGGGCGUGCGGGCGAUACGGGCAGACCGGAGUACUGCAGGGGAGACUGGAAUUCCUGGUGUAGCGGUGGAAUGCGCAGAUAUCAGGAGGAACACCGGUGGCGAAGGCGGGUCUCUGGGCAGUAACUGACGCUGAGGAGCGAAAGCGUGGGGAGCGAACAGG